CACUAGAUGACUGAAAGUAAGUAAUGGUCUCUUAAACCACAAAAUAGUAAAUUAACAAUUACUUCUAGUGA
This 71-nucleotide transfer RNA is filed under the name Sorineuchora formosana. Its description in RNAcentral is "tRNA-Lys". The record is from RNAcentral. Lineage: Eukaryota; Metazoa; Arthropoda; Insecta; Blattodea; Pseudophyllodromiidae.